GAUGAACGCUGGCGGCGUGCCUAAUACAUGCAAGUCGAGCGAACGGACGAGAAGCUUGCUUCUCUGAUGUUAGCGGCGGACGGGUGAGUAACACGUGGAUAACCUACCUAUAAGACUGGGAUAACUUCGGGAAACCGGAGCUAAUACCGGAUAAUAUUUUGAACCGCAUGGUUCAAAAGUGAAAGACGGUCUUGCUGUCCCUUAUAGAUGGAUCCGCGCUGCAUUAGCUAGUUGGUAAGGUAACGGCUUACCAAGGCAACGAUGCAUAGCCGACCUGAGAGGGUGAUCGGCCACACUGGAACUGAGACACGGUCCAGACUCCUACGGGAGGCAGCAGUAGGGAAUCUUCCGCAAUGGGCGAAAGCCUGACGGAGCAACGCCGCGUGAGUGAUGAAGGUCUUCGGAUCGUAAAACUCUGUUAGUAGGGAAGAACAUAUGUGUAAGUAACUGUGCACAUCUUGACGGUACCUAAUCAGAAAGCCACGGCUAACUACGUG
Molecule: ribosomal RNA, 497 nt
Filed under: uncultured bacterium
Lineage: Bacteria
Description: partial 16S ribosomal RNA
Rfam family: Bacterial small subunit ribosomal RNA
Source: RNAcentral